RNAcentral lists this ribosomal RNA (253 nucleotides) under uncultured bacterium. RNAcentral describes it as "partial 16S ribosomal RNA". It matches the Rfam family "Bacterial small subunit ribosomal RNA", at positions 524 to 776 of the family's 1533-position model. The record is from RNAcentral.
UACGUAGGGGGCAAGCGUUGUCCGGAAUCAUUGGGCGUAAAGCGCGUGUAGGCGGCUCGGGUAGUCUGGUGUGAAAUCUUUCGGCUCAACCGGAAGCGGUCACUGGAUACUCUCGGGCUUGAGUCCGGAAGAGGAGAGUGGAAUUCCUGGUGUAGCGGUGGAAUGCGCAGAUAUCAGGAGGAACACCUAUGGCGAAGGCAGCUCGCUGGGACGUUACUGACGCUGAGACGCGAAAGCGUGGGGAGCAAACAGG